UAGGGAAUCUUCCACAAUGGACGCAAGUCUGAUGGAGCAACGCCGCGUGAGUGAAGAAGGGUUUCGGCUCGUAAAGCUCUGUUGUUAAAGAAGAACAUGGGUAAGAGUAACUGUUUACCCAGUGACGGUAUUUAACCAGAAAGCCACGGCUAACUACGUGCCAG
Molecule: ribosomal RNA, 164 nt
Filed under: uncultured bacterium
Lineage: Bacteria
Description: partial 16S rRNA
Rfam family: Bacterial small subunit ribosomal RNA
Source: RNAcentral